ACAGAGCAGGGACUCAAAAAGCAACAUCAGAGUUGGAGUAGCUUGUGGAAGAAGCAAGUGAAGUUCUGUAAAGCAGUCUUAUUAAUGGUAUUCUUGAGCCCGCAAGGAAGGCAAAUGCAACACACUCGUUCCCACGAAACAACCAGCACAGGAGAUUUCUGUGGCUAAACAACGCUGUAAUGGAAAUCACAACACAGUCAGGCCCACCAUUCUGGUGGAAGAACAAAACCCAAAUGAAACCCGUCAAAUGGUUAUGCAACUUUUACUACAUAUAACAUGGUUACCAUGCUUUAGGGGGGUGGGCAAUAAAAAAUAAUAGAAAUAUUAAAGACUAUCUAAAUACCCUUUAUAGGAAAUCCAAUAAAAAAGUAUGUUGGAAAUACAAAA
Molecule: long non-coding RNA, 387 nt
Filed under: Homo sapiens (human)
Lineage: Eukaryota; Metazoa; Chordata; Mammalia; Primates; Hominidae
Description: novel transcript
Source: RNAcentral